UGCGUGUCUUCGCACGUGGUCGAGCACACAAACCUCAUCUGCACGAGGGUACAACCCUUGUAUCCACAUCGCGGCGCCGUGGAAUCACGAAAACACACACGCACACACACACACACACACAGAUACAUAUUUCUAGAUUCCAAGGCACGCACACAGUGUUACCAAUGUCAGACAGACGCGAAGACGAACCGGUGGCGAAGCGGACACGCCGCGAGGUCGACCCGGCCAUCACUUUCCCCUAUGAGCUGGACACGUUCCAGAAGACGAGUAUCGACGCUCUCGAGGAGGGCGACAGUGUUCUAGUGUCGGCGCACACGUCGGCAGGUAAGACUACCGUGGCGCUCUACGCCAUCGCCAAGGCUCUGCGAGAGAAGAAGCGCAUCAUUUACACCUCCCCCAUCAAGGCCCUUAGCAACCAAAAGUUCCGCGAGUUCUCCGAGAAGUUCGACUCCGUCGGUCUCAUGACCGGCGACACCACCAUCAAGGCGGACGCGGACUGCCUUGUCAUGACGACAGAGAUUCUACGCAGCAUGCUGUACCGCGGCACCGAAAUGCUGCGCGAGGUGGGCUGCGUCGUCUUCGAUGAGGUACACUACAUGCGCGACAAGUCGCGUGGCGUGGUGUGGGAGGAAACAAUCAGCUUGCUGCCUGAGGGAUGCCAGUACGUUUUCCUCUCCGCCACCAUCCCGAACGCGCGCGAGUUUGCGGACUGGGUGGAGAACAUCCAUCCCACCACAAAGGUGCACGUCAUUCACACAGAGUACCGGCCAGUGCCGCUACAGCACUACUUGUAUCCGGCUGGGGCCGACGGCAUCUUCCUCAUCGUGGAUGAAAAAGGCAAAUUUCGCGAUGACAACUUCGGCAAGGCUAUCGCGUCGAUGGGGGCGGAGGGCGGCGCAAACGGUGUGGGUGCGGCAGGCCCAGGCAACGGCUCCUCCAAAGACCCGCGCGGGAACCACAAGGGUAGCGGUGGCCGCAGUCACGGCGGGUUCUCGCAGUCCAUGAUGGAGAUCGUCAAGCUCGUGAUGGAUCGCAACAUGUACCCUGUGAUCGUCUUCUCCUUCGCCAAGGCGGAGUGCGAGCGCAACGCCCUCGCGCUCUCGCGACUGAACUUCAAUAACACCGAAGAGGAUGCUCUCGUGAUGGAGGUGUUCAACAAUGCUAUGGAGUCGCUGGCGGAGGAGGACCGGAAGCUGCCCGCUAUUGAGCAUCUUCAACCGCUCCUGAAGCGCGGUGUCGGCAUCCACCACUCCGGUCUCCUUCCGAUUCUGAAGGAGGUUGUCGAGAUUCUUUUCCAGGCGGGUUUGGUUAAGGUUCUCUUCUCCACCGAGACUUUCUCGAUGGGGCUUAACAUGCCGGCCCGUACCGUCGUCUUCACCUCUGUCAAGAAGUUCGACGGUGAGAAGAACCGCUACCUCACUGGCGGCGAGUACAUUCAAAUGUCGGGGCGCGCCGGCCGUCGCGGCCUCGACCGCGUCGGCGUUGUGAUUACCAUGGUGGACGAGGCAGUGGAGCCUGACACGCUGAAGCAGCUGACCAGCGGUGGCGCCGACGUCCUGCUCAGCAGUUUCCACCUGACGUACAAUAUGGUGCUGAACCUGCUGCGCGUCGAGGGCGUCGAUCCUGAAUUUAUGAUGAAGCGCAGCUUCUCGCAAUUCCAGCGCCUGCGUGAGAAGCCAGCGCUAGAGGAGAAGGGUGCCGCUCUGCGCAGGUCCAUCGAGGCGAUCAACGUCACCCACGAGAGCGCCUUCCGGCAGUACACGAUUUGCGAGGACAUGAUCGCGAAGAAGAAGAACGAGGUGGACCACAUUCUGCGCCAACCCAAGUUCCUCAAGAACUGGGUGCAGGCAGGCCGUUUUGUGCACAUCAUUCGCGCCUCCGAUCAGCGCGACUUUGGCUGGGGCAUCUGCCGCUCGUUUGCCGCAAAGAGCACCAACCCAAACUUCAGCGACCCCAGCACCUUCUCCAUCCAAGCCGCUGUGAUAUGCAUGAAGGCGGACGCGUCGAAUCCGAGCGCUUUGACGCCGUGCCCGGUCAGCGAGUACACCUCGGAGAAGGCGGACCUAUACACAGUGACGUUCGACUUCUCGGACGUGCAGUGCCUUUCAACGCUCAAGACAAAUCUUCCCGAAAGCCCGGACUCGGAGCGGGGGCGUGCCGAGGUGGUGCAAAUUCUGUCGAAGCUGCAGCGCCAGUUUGGUCACGACAUCCCCGUGCUCACCUCUGCGCAGAUGGGUGCCGAGGACGCGCAGCUGAGUAAGCUGCAGACGCAGCUGUCGAACCUGCAAAAGCAGCUAGAGGGCAACAUCCUUGCCAUAUCCCCCACCCCAGAGCUGCAGGAGGAGUUUGAGAAGUACAAGCGAAAGGCAGACCUCGAGGCUCAGCUGGAGCAGGUGAAGGGUGAGCUAGCUGGCAUGGGCAAGGCGGUCUUCUCCGAAGAGCUGAAGCAGAUGAUGCGUGUGCUGCGUCGCCUGGACUACAUCGACAAGGACAACAUCAUCCUCCGCAAGGCCCGCGUAGCGUGCGAGAUAACGACAACAGACGAAAACGAAAUUCUGCUGACGGAGCUGCUCUUCAAAGGCGUGCUGAACUCGAUGGAGACGGAGAUGAUUGUGGCUCUCUUAUCAUGUCUCGUCAACGUGCACCGCACCCCGGAUGGCUUCUCGUUGCCGCAGGAGUUCGAGCAGCCGCUGAAGGACCUCAACGAGAUUGUUACUCGCAUCGCCACCGUUAGCGCCGAAAGCGGGCUAAUCCAAGAAGACAGCUCGGAGGAGAAGGUUAUGCCGUCACUCAUGGAGGUAAUCUACCUGUGGGCAAAGGGGGCGAAGUUCGUCGAUCUCGUGAGCAUGACCACGGCGUACGAGGGUGACAUUGUGCGCACGAUGCGUCGUCUGGAGGAGAUGCUGCGCCAGCUGGCCUCCGCAGCGCGGUCGCCGGCCAUCGGCAGCAUCGAAUUGCACGAAAAGUUCCUCAAGGGCAUCCAGCUCAUCAAGCGUGAUAUCGUUUUCGCGUCAUCACUGUACUUGUAGUUGCAUUGAGUGAAUGAUGACAGACACGCGUAUGCUUGCGUGUGUGGGUGUGUGUAUAUCUGCAGCUAGUUAGCUACAUUGUCGCUGCUGGCGUAUGCAAGGCCUGUUGUAACCCCACCCCUUCUUUUCUUUGGUGUUUUGUGAGUAACAUGCUAAGCAUCGCAUCGGCGUUCUCGAAUAAGUGAGUCUUGUCCCUCAGUCCCCCUCGCGCGCAGUUGCCGUCUCUCUCCUGCGGAUGGGGUAAGAAAAGUGGACUCUGCGUACAGAAAUGAAUUCCGAACCUAAAGAGUAAGAGGAUCAGUGCCUCCUGUGCACUUGCGUUUAUGCCGGUGUAUGUGUGGGGGAAGGGAAGGGAAGGGGGUGCACUUGGUGCUGUGUAGGCCUACUUCGUGAAAGUAUAGCAAGCAUCGAAUACGGUACCUUUUGUUUUCUUCUGCAUCGCCUUUGCUACUCUCGUGAUUGGCCUCACGCGUCUCCUCGCGGCUUCGCUCUCUUCCUGAUUCUCUCCCCACCUCUCCCCACCUCUCCCCCCCCGUUUCGCGUGCAAGGCCGUUGAGCGGGAGGGUGGGAUGGUUCAUGAAUGGCGCUUAUGUGAGUCGACUCCACUUGAGGCCUUUCGAGACUGAGCAUCGCGUACUCCUGCCACUGUGCACACGCCAAUCCCUCCGCUUUAGCCGCCUUCUCUAUUCCUCUCUCUCCCUCUCUUCCCUGGUGGGCAUCGUCCUCUAG
This 3758-nucleotide unclassified non-coding RNA is filed under the name Leishmania donovani. RNAcentral describes it as "gene:LdHU3.36.4350(CDS-product:ATP-dependent_RNA_ helicase_putative)". Lineage: Eukaryota; Euglenozoa; Kinetoplastea; Trypanosomatida; Trypanosomatidae. The record is from RNAcentral.